This 253-nucleotide ribosomal RNA is filed under the name uncultured bacterium. Its description in RNAcentral is "partial 16S ribosomal RNA". It matches the Rfam family "Bacterial small subunit ribosomal RNA", at positions 524 to 776 of the family's 1533-position model. The record is from RNAcentral.
UACGGAGGGGGUUAGCGUUGUUCGGAAUGACUGGGCGUAAAGCGCGCGUAGGCGGACCAUCAAGUCGGGGGUGAAAUCCCGGGGCUCAACCCCGGAAUGGCCUUCGAGACUGGUGGUCUUGAGUUCGAGAGAGGUGAGUGGAACUGCGAGUGUAGAGGUGAAAUUCGUAGAUAUUCGCAAGAACACCAGUGGCGAAGGCGGCUCACUGGUCCAUAACUGACGCUGAGGCACGAAAGCGUGGGGAGCAAACAGG